RNAcentral lists this ribosomal RNA (406 nucleotides) under uncultured bacterium. RNAcentral's name for it is "partial 16S ribosomal RNA". It matches the Rfam family "Bacterial small subunit ribosomal RNA", at positions 30 to 526 of the family's 1533-position model. The record is from RNAcentral.
AUUGAACGCUGGCGGCAGGCCUAACACAUGCAAGUCGCGCGAGCGGCGGACGGGUGAGUAAUGCCUAGGAAUCUGCCUGGUAGUGGGGGAUAACGUCCGGAAACGGGCGCUAAUACCGCAUACCAUCAGAUGAACCCAUAUGGGAUUAGCUUGUAGGUGAGGUAACGGCUCACCUAGGCGACGAUCCCUAGCUGGUCUGAGAGGCUGAUCAGCCACACUGGGACGGAGACACGGCCCAGACUCCUCCGUGAGGCAGCAGUGGGGAAUAUUGCACCAUGGGCGCAAGCCUGAUGCAGCCAUGCCGCGUGUAUGAAGAAGGCCUUCGGGUUGUAAAGUACUUUCAGUCGGGAGGCGUUACCGACAGAAGAAGCACCGGCUAACUCCGUGCCAGCAGCCGCGGUAAUAC